Daphnia pulicaria is the source of this 868-nucleotide long non-coding RNA. RefSeq lists it as uncharacterized. The transcript is spliced from 4 exons. The record is from RefSeq and is a predicted model, not a curated record. Lineage: Eukaryota; Metazoa; Arthropoda; Branchiopoda; Diplostraca; Daphniidae.
UACUACCUUCUUUGUGUUCCCAGCCCUUUUAGUACUGUCUAUGUCUGUCAAGUGUCACUGUCAAUGGCUUCACUUGAUAAAAGAGAUUUGUGCUGACAGGACAUUCUCGGACAUGCUUCCCCAUAUUUCAUAGGCUUUAGUUUCCAAAGCAACGUCUAUUGAGUGGGACUAUGUUUCUAGGCCACAUUUUAGAUCGUAUUAUGCAGCAAAAUAAUACUUUUCAAGCAAGAAAGCCAGAACUUCUCCUCGUUCAGCACAUGAUCUAUGGAUGGUUUGAAACCCAACACUUCAUUUGUAAGAUUAAUGAAAUCUUAAAAUUUGAUAUUCCUGAAACGGAAAACAAUUUUAACAACUUGAAAGGUGCUUUUGAGUUCAUUGGACAUGGGUUGCGAUCUGAGAAGGUCCAAAUCGCAUGAAUUUUGGAUCCUCCAGAUGAAGAAACACAAUAUUUAAGGAACCCUACAAGUUUUUCAAGAAUCUUAUAAUCGACAAUCUUUCAAAAGAUGAAAUCGAUACGUUUUAAACUCGAUGUUUGUAUUUUUUACAGAGCUUUUUUUCCAAGGUCUUAACUACCAAUUGUUUGUUUUUUACCAAAUUUCGUUUAACGUAGUAGCGUUUAAGAGUAGUAGCUUCUUCGUAUUGAUUUUAUAUACUAGAUAAUAAGAUCUUAAAAUUUAAUUCUAAUAAAUGCAGAUAAAAGCACUGCGCAAUCUUAGGCAAUUGUAGAAUAAUAGUAAUUGAAACCAUAGAAAUAAAAUCUAGUGCUAAAUUAAACAAAUGUGAUUCUCUAACAAAAAAACUAUUUUAAACGGCUUUCUAAAUCAUUACAAGUAAUGCUAUGGCAAAUUAAUAAAUGGUAGUGAAACAA